This 244-nucleotide ribosomal RNA is filed under the name uncultured bacterium. RNAcentral's name for it is "partial 16S ribosomal RNA". It matches the Rfam family "Bacterial small subunit ribosomal RNA", at positions 796 to 1041 of the family's 1533-position model. The record is from RNAcentral.
CACGCCGUAAACGAUGAGUACUAGGUGUAGGGGGUAUCGACCCCCCCUGUGCCGCAGUAAACACAAUAAGUACUCCGCCUGGGAAGUACGAUCGCAAGAUUAAAACUCAAAGGAAUUGACGGGGACCCGCACAAGCAGCGGAGCAUGUGGUUUAAUUCGAUGAUACGCGAGGAACCUUACCCGGGCUUGAAUUGCAACCGAAUAAUCGAGAGAUCGAUUAGCCGCAAGGCGGUUGUGAAGGUGC